RNA transcript from Dendrobium catenatum, 601 nucleotides. RefSeq lists it as uncharacterized. NCBI's taxonomy places the organism in Eukaryota, Viridiplantae, Streptophyta, Magnoliopsida, Asparagales, Orchidaceae. The record is from RefSeq and is a predicted model, not a curated record. The transcript is spliced from 5 exons.
AACACUUCAAGCUCCGGCCUCCCGCAUGGUGAUAAUGGUGGACGUUCUCUCCAAGGGCAGGGAAUCAUGCUAUAAGGCUCGGGACGCCUUCUAUGCUUGCUUGGAGAAGGAGGCGGACAAGAAGCCAACGGAGGUGGCGACCGUCGGCCUUCUAUACCCGGCCGAAUGCAAGGGUUCCAGAGACGAAUUCGUCAAGAGUUGUCGCCCCACUUGGGUGAAGCACUUUGAUCGUCAGUAUUGCGCUAAGAAAAGAGUGAAGAGGCUUCUCGACAACGACGAAUCCCGCAGAGGUCCCAUUUCUCUCCCUCAGCCGUACACCUUCAAGCCCUAGCUACGGCCGACCCUUAUCCUUCAAUUCCUGGAUUCCUAAGCGCAGCUAGAAGCCACUGCUCGUGAUAGUUUGAGCGCGCGUUACAAACCUCAUUUUUUUGUUCCCAUUCUGUUCAGCUGUAGAACUUUUUACCUGGCUGAGCAAGGUCUUCAUAUCUCAAACCCCUAAAGAUGUCUUCAGUAGCUGCGUUCUACUUUACUAAUACAUUGCAUUUUGCUGAAGUUCUACAAAUCAGCUUCUUCUGUUGUAUGUGGAAGCAGAUUCCUAAAA